UACGAAGGGGGCUAGCGUUGCUCGGAAUCAUUGGGCGUAAAGGGUGCGUAGGCGGCGCGGUAAGUCGGGUGUGAAAUCUCGGAGCUUAACUCCGAAACUGCAUUCGAUACUGCCGUGCUUGAGGACUGGAGAGGAGACUGGAAUUUACGGUGUAGCGGUGAGAUGCGUAGAUAUCGUAAGGAAGACCAGUGGCGAAGGCGGGUCUCUGGACAGUUCCUGACGCUGAGGCACGAAGGCCAGGGGAGCAAACGGG
RNAcentral lists this ribosomal RNA (253 nucleotides) under uncultured bacterium. RNAcentral's name for it is "partial 16S ribosomal RNA". It matches the Rfam family "Bacterial small subunit ribosomal RNA", at positions 524 to 776 of the family's 1533-position model. The record is from RNAcentral.